This is a long non-coding RNA of Erpetoichthys calabaricus (reedfish), 1134 nucleotides long. RefSeq lists it as uncharacterized. Lineage: Eukaryota; Metazoa; Chordata; Cladistia; Polypteriformes; Polypteridae. The record is from RefSeq and is a predicted model, not a curated record. The transcript is spliced from 3 exons.
AAGUAACGGGCAAAUGAAAAGCUGACUAUGAAGAAUGACCAACCGUAUUUUAAAAAACAAGGACACGUGAGGCCAUUUAUGAAGAACUUCCAGGUGUAUUUAAGUAACGGGCAAAUGAAAAACUGACUAUGGAGAAUGACCAACUUUAUUUAAAUACAAGGCCAACUAUGAAGAAUGGUCAGCUGUAUUUAAAAACAAGGACAUGUAAGGCCAACUAUGAAGAACUUCCAGGUGUAUUUAAGUAAAGAAAGAUAUAAGGCCUUCAAUAAAAGCCUGCCAAGUAUAUUUAAUGACAGGGAAAUAUACAGUAAGGCCAUCUAUGAAGAGCUGCCAGGUGUUUUUAAAAUACACGGCAUAUGAAAAGCUGACUGUGAAGAACCAACAACUGUAUUUAAAAACAGGGACACCUAAGGCCAACCACAAAGACCUUCCUGGUGUAUUCAAGUAUAGAAAAUACAAGGCCUUUUACGAAGACCUGUCCUGGUGUAUUUAAUUACAGGUUAAUGUAAGGCUGACUAGGCAGAAUGGCCAACUGUAUUUAAAAACAUGGACAUAUAAGACAAAACGUGAAAUACUUCUGGGUGUAUUUAAAUAUAAGACAAAUGAAAAAUCAACUAUGAAAACUGCCAGUUGUAAUUGGGGAAAUAUAAGGCUGACUAUGAAAGAUGGCCAACUAUAUUUCCAAACAUGGACAGAUACAGUAAGGCCAGCUAUGAAGAACUGCCCGGUGUAUUUAAUUACGGGUUAAUGUAAGGCUGAGUAUGGAGAAUGGCCAACUGUAUUUAAAAACAAGGACAUAUAAGGCCAACUAUGAAGAACUUCCAGGUGUAUUUAAGUAUAGAAAGAUAUAAGGUCUUCUAUGAAAACCUGCCAGGUGUAUUUAAAUACAGGGAAAUGUAAGAGCGACUAUGAAGAACAGCCAACUGUAUUUAAAAACACGGACCAAUACAGUAAGGCCAACUAUGAAGAACUGCCCGGUGCAUUUGAUUACUGGUUAGAAUUAGAAUGCCUUUUAUUGUCACUAUACACAUGCACAAUGAGAUUAAAAGCAGCGCCUUCAGUGUCGACAUAUAUGUAGAACACAACAAGUAAAUAAACAAAUGGUGCAAAGAAGUUGCAAAAAAGUUCUGCGAC